UUUUUUUCAUGUUACCAUUGGAAGCGAUGUACUGGGGAGAGAGAGAGUUUUUUUAAUUUUAUUUAUUUUCAGAUUUUUUCAAAUAAUAGUAUUAAUUAAAUUCUAAUUUUUGAUUGGAUAAACUAGGAUAAGUGCGGAUUGCUUAACAUAGACCAUUGAUUAAUUCGAAUUGAUGGUCUGGAUCGAAUCAAAGAAACACUCCAAGAAGCACACACUAUUUAAAUAAAUUAAAAUGCCUAUAAUGUUGUUUUUAGAUGACUUAAUCAAUUU
RNAcentral lists this long non-coding RNA (270 nucleotides) under Lathyrus oleraceus (garden pea). RNAcentral describes it as "Pisum sativum (pea) long non-coding RNA (PSAT_LNC009986)". Lineage: Eukaryota; Viridiplantae; Streptophyta; Magnoliopsida; Fabales; Fabaceae. The record is from RNAcentral.